UGGGGAAUCUUGCGCAAUGGGCGAAAGCCUGACGCAGCGACGCCGCGUGAGGGAGGAAGGCCUUCGGGUUGUAAACCUCUUUCAGGAGGGACGAAGCUACUCGGGUGAAUAGCCCAGAGGGUGACGGUACCUCCAGAAGAAGCCCCGGCUAACUACGUGCCAGCAGCCGCGGUAAUACGUAGGGGGCAAGCGUUGUCCGGAUUUACUGGGCGUAAAGCGCGUGUAGGCGGCCACACAGGUCCGUUGUGAAAACUGGAGGCUCAACCUCCAGACGUCGACGGAAACCGUAUGGCUAGAGUCCGGAAGAGGAGAGUGGAAUUCCUGGUGUAGCGGUGAAAUGCGCAGAUAUCAGGAAGAACACCAAUGGCGAAGGCAGCUCUCUGGGACGGUACUGACGCUGAGACGCGAAAGCGUGGGGAGCGAACAGGAUUAGAUACCCUGGUAGUCCACGCCGUAAACGAUGGGUGCUAGGUGUGGGAGGUGUCGACUCCUUCCGUGCCGUAGCUAACG
RNAcentral lists this ribosomal RNA (510 nucleotides) under uncultured Actinomycetes bacterium. RNAcentral's name for it is "bacterial SSU rRNA". It matches the Rfam family "Bacterial small subunit ribosomal RNA", at positions 355 to 857 of the family's 1533-position model. Lineage: Bacteria; Bacillati; Actinomycetota; Actinomycetes. The record is from RNAcentral.